CCUACGGGGGACAGCAGUGGGGAAUAUUGGACAAUGGGGGAAACCCUGAUCCAGCGACGCCGCGUGAGUGAAGAAGUAUCUCGGUACGUAAAGCUCUAUCAGCAGGAAAGAAAAUGACGGUACCUGACUAAGAAGCCCAGGCCAACUACGUGCCAGCAGCCGCGGUACUACGUAGGGGGCAAGCGUAAUCCGGAUUUACUGGGUGUAAAGGGAGCGUAGACGGCUGCGCAAGUCUGUGGUGAAAUGCCCGGGCCCAACCCGGGAACUGCAUUGGAAACUGUGAAGCUGGAGUGCAGGAGAGGUAAGCGGAAUUCAUGGUGUAGCGGUGAAAUGCGUAGAUAUCAGGAGGAACACCGGUGGCGAAGGCGGCUUACUGGACUGUAACUGACGUUGAGGCACGAAGGCGUGGGGAGCAAACAGGAUUAGAUACCCUGGUAGUC
RNAcentral lists this ribosomal RNA (440 nucleotides) under uncultured bacterium. Its description in RNAcentral is "partial 16S ribosomal RNA". It matches the Rfam family "Bacterial small subunit ribosomal RNA", at positions 338 to 795 of the family's 1533-position model. The record is from RNAcentral.